GUAAUAGCUCACUGGUCGAGUCGGCCCGCGCGGAAGAUGUAACGGGGCUAAACCAUGCACCGAAGCUGCGGCAGCGACACAAAGUGUUGUUGGGUAGGGGAGCGUUCUGUAAGCCUGCGAAGGUGUACUGUGAGGUAUGCUGGAGGUAUCAGAAGUGCGAAUGCUGACAUAAGUAACGAUAAUGCGGGUGAAAAACCCGCACGCCGGAAGACCAAGGGUUCCUGUCCAACGUUAAUCGGGGCAGGGUGAGUCGACCCCUAAGGCGAGGCUGAAAAGCGUAGUCGAUGGGAAACGGGUUAAUAUUCCCGUACUGGUGGUAACUGCGAUGGGGGAACGGAGAAGGCUAGGUUGUCCGGGCGACGGUCGUCCCGGUUCAAGCAGGUAGGCAGAGUGAUUAGGCAAAUCCGGUCACUUAAUGCUGAGAUGUGAUGACGAACCACUAAGGUGGUGAAGCAAUUGAUGCCCCGCUUCCAGGAAAAGCCUCUAAGCUUCAGGUUACCAACAAUCGUACCCCAAACCGACACAGGUGGUCAGGUAGAGAAUACUCAGGCGCUUGAGAGAACUCGGGUGAAGGAACUAGGCAAAAUGGUGCCGUAACUUCGGGAGAAGGCACGCUGGCGGUAGGUAAAGUCCCU
Molecule: ribosomal RNA, 635 nt
Filed under: Proteus mirabilis
Lineage: Bacteria; Pseudomonadati; Pseudomonadota; Gammaproteobacteria; Enterobacterales; Morganellaceae
Description: partial 23S ribosomal RNA
Rfam family: Bacterial large subunit ribosomal RNA
Source: RNAcentral